UGGAGGAAGAGGAUUUGGAAUCAUCUCUGAAGGAUUACCACAAGAAAUAGACCACGAAUACUGAAUCUGUAAAAUCUUGCAAAUUUCAUCAGAAGUCUUUUGUAAAUGCAUUAAGGGAGUAGAGAAUAACAUUAAAUCACCUGUGUGAUAUACUACUUCAACAUAACUUCCUUUUCAAGAUGUAGUAAUAAAUUGCUGUCUCCUGGCCUUUUCAAGACCACCUAAUCCCUGUCAGUCUCAUUCCUGUUUUAUUUGUAGGGUUUAUGGACUUGUGUUCUACACUUGCUUUAAUCUUCAGUUCUAGCAGCUGCCUUGGCUGUAUUGAACCCUGUGCCAUGGUUGUCCCUGACAUUGAACUGAUCUGUGAAAUUUUAUUGGUUGUUGAAGGGUUUAUUGAUGUGUGCUUGUUAGCCAGCAAGUUUAGCACCUUGUAUACUCUCUGCAGGGAACUGUUCUCUAAACAGGUGAGGGUCUCUUUUUUGCUACAUUUGCUAUGUUUUAAUUAACACAUAUUCACUUGGAAACAGUGCAGCUGGACAUUGUAUAAUAAUUGUUGUGGUUUUUUUAAUUACUAUUAUU
Long non-coding RNA from Oxyura jamaicensis (ruddy duck), 579 nucleotides. RefSeq lists it as uncharacterized. The transcript has 4 exons. NCBI's taxonomy places the organism in Eukaryota, Metazoa, Chordata, Aves, Anseriformes, Anatidae. The record is from RefSeq and is a predicted model, not a curated record.